This 157-nucleotide ribosomal RNA is filed under the name Parasola leiocephala. RNAcentral describes it as "5.8S ribosomal RNA". It matches the Rfam family "5.8S ribosomal RNA". From Rfam's summary of the family: 5.8S ribosomal RNA (5.8S rRNA) is a component of the large subunit of the eukaryotic ribosome. It is transcribed by RNA polymerase I as part of the 45S precursor that also contains 18S and 28S rRNA. Functionally, it is thought that 5.8S rRNA may be involved in ribosome translocation. Lineage: Eukaryota; Fungi; Basidiomycota; Agaricomycetes; Agaricales; Psathyrellaceae. The record is from RNAcentral.
AACUUUCAGCAACGGAUCUCUUGGCUCUCGCAUCGAUGAAGAACGCAGCGAAAUGCGAUAAGUAAUGUGAAUUGCAGAAUUCAGUGAAUCAUCGAAUCUUUGAACUCACCUUGCGCUCCUUGGUAUUCCGAGGAGCAUGCCUGUUUGAGUGUCAUUA